This 195-nucleotide ribosomal RNA is filed under the name uncultured bacterium. Its description in RNAcentral is "partial small subunit ribosomal RNA". It matches the Rfam family "Bacterial small subunit ribosomal RNA", at positions 338 to 525 of the family's 1533-position model. The record is from RNAcentral.
CCUACGGGAGGCAGCAGUGGGGAAUAUUGCACAAUGGGGGGAACCCUGAUGCAGCCAUGCCGCGUGUGUGAAGAAGGCCUUCGGGUUGUAAAGCACUUUCAGUUGUGAGGAAAAGUUAGUAGUUAAUACCUGCUAGCCGUGACGUUAACAACAGAAGAAGCACCGGCUAACUCCGUGCCAGCAGCCGCGGUAAUA